Molecule: ribosomal RNA, 2241 nt
Filed under: Salmonella enterica subsp. enterica serovar Tanger
Lineage: Bacteria; Pseudomonadati; Pseudomonadota; Gammaproteobacteria; Enterobacterales; Enterobacteriaceae
Description: partial 23S ribosomal RNA
Rfam family: Bacterial large subunit ribosomal RNA
Source: RNAcentral
AGACCCGAAACCCGGUGAUCUAGCCAUGGGCAGGUUGAAGGUUGGGUAACACUAACUGGAGGACCGAACCGACUAAUGUUGAAAAAUUAGCGGAUGACCUGUGGCUGGGGGUGAAAGGCCAAUCAAACCGGGAGAUAGCUGGUUCUCCCCGAAAGCUAUUUAGGUAGCGCCUCGUGAAUUCAUCUCCGGGGGUAGAGCACUGUUUCGGCUAGGGGGCCAUCCCGGCUUACCAACCCGAUGCAAACUGCGAAUACCGGAGAAUGUUAUCACGGGAGACACACGGCGGGUGCUAACGUCCGUCGUGAAGAGGGAAACAACCCAGACCGCCAGCUAAGGUCCCAAAGUCAUGGUUAAGUGGGAAACGAUGUGGGAAGGCCCAGACAGCCAGGAUGUUGGCUUAGAAGCAGCCAUCAUUUAAAGAAAGCGUAAUAGCUCACUGGUCGAGUCGGCCUGCGCGGAAGAUGUAACGGGGCUAAACCAUGCACCGAAGCUGCGGCAGCGACACUAUGUGUUGUUGGGUAGGGGAGCGUUCUGUAAGCCGUUGAAGGUGGCCUGUGAGGGUUGCUGGAGGUAUCAGAAGUGCGAAUGCUGACAUAAGUAACGAUAAAGCGGGUGAAAAGCCCGCUCGCCGGAAGACCAAGGGUUCCUGUCCAACGUUAAUCGGGGCAGGGUGAGUCGACCCCUAAGGCGAGGCCGAAAGGCGUAGUCGAUGGGAAACGGGUUAAUAUUCCCGUACUUGGUGUUACUGCGAAGGGGGGACGGAGAAGGCUAUGUUGGCCGGGCGACGGUUGUCCCGGUUUAAGCGUGUAGGUGUGUGUUCCAGGUAAAUCCGGUUCACUUUAACACUGAGGCGUGACGACGAGGCACUACGGUGCUGAAGCAACAAAUGCCCUGCUUCCAGGAAAAGCCUCUAAGCAUCAGGUAACAUCAAAUCGUACCCCAAACCGACACAGGUGGUCAGGUAGAGAAUACCAAGGCGCUUGAGAGAACUCGGGUGAAGGAACUAGGCAAAAUGGUGCCGUAACUUCGGGAGAAGGCACGCUGACAUGUAGGUGAAGUGAUUUACUCAUGGAGCUGAAGUCAGUCGAAGAUACCAGCUGGCUGCAACUGUUUAUUAAAAACACAGCACUGUGCAAACACGAAAGUGGACGUAUACGGUGUGACGCCUGCCCGGUGCCGGAAGGUUAAUUGAUGGGGUCAGCGCAAGCGAAGCUCCUGAUCGAAGCCCCGGUAAACGGCGGCCGUAACUAUAACGGUCCUAAGGUAGCGAAAUUCCUUGUCGGGUAAGUUCCGACCUGCACGAAUGGCGUAAUGAUGGCCAGGCUGUCUCCACCCGAGACUCAGUGAAAUUGAACUCGCUGUGAAGAUGCAGUGUACCCGCGGCAAGACGGAAAGACCCCGUGAACCUUUACUAUAGCUUGACACUGAACAUUGAGCCUUGAUGUGUAGGAUAGGUGGGAGGCUUUGAAGUGUGGACGCCAGUCUGCAUGGAGCCGGCCUUGAAAUACCACCCUUUAAUGUUUGAUGUUCUAACGUGGACCCGUGAUCCGGGUUGCGGACAGUGUCUGGUGGGUAGUUUGACUGGGGCGGUCUCCUCCUAAAGAGUAACGGAGGAGCACGAAGGUUGGCUAAUCCUGGUCGGACAUCAGGAGGUUAGUGCAAUGGCAUAAGCCAGCUUGACUGCGAGCGUGACGGCGCGAGCAGGUGCGAAAGCAGGUCAUAGUGAUCCGGUGGUUCUGAAUGGAAGGGCCAUCGCUCAACGGAUAAAAGGUACUCCGGGGAUAACAGGCUGAUACCGCCCAAGAGUUCAUAUCGACGGCGGUGUUUGGCACCUCGAUGUCGGCUCAUCACAUCCUGGGGCUGAAGUAGGUCCCAAGGGUAUGGCUGUUCGCCAUUUAAAGUGGUACGCGAGCUGGGUUUAGAACGUCGUGAGACAGUUCGGUCCCUAUCUGCCGUGGGCGCUGGAGAACUGAGGGGGGCUGCUCCUAGUACGAGAGGACCGGAGUGGACGCAUCACUGGUGUUCGGGUUGUCAUGCCAAUGGCACUGCCCGGUAGCUAAAUGCGGAAGAGAUAAGUGCUGAAAGCAUCUAAGCACGAAACUUGCCCCGAGAUGAGUUCUCCCUGAGACUUAGAGUCUCCUGAAGGAACGUUGAAGACGACGACGUUGAUAGGCCGGGUGUGUAAGCGCAGCGAUGCGUUGAGCUAACCGGUACUAAUGAACCGUGAGGCUUAACCUUACA